Molecule: small nuclear RNA, 107 nt
Organism: Gorilla gorilla gorilla (western lowland gorilla)
Lineage: Eukaryota; Metazoa; Chordata; Mammalia; Primates; Hominidae
Source: Ensembl
GUGCUCACUUUGGCAGCAUAUACACUAAAAUUGGAACAAUACAGAGAAGAUUAGCAUUGUCCCUGAGCAAGCAUGACACACAAAUUCAUGAAGCAUUUCAUAUUUUU